This 253-nucleotide ribosomal RNA is filed under the name uncultured bacterium. RNAcentral describes it as "partial 16S ribosomal RNA". It matches the Rfam family "Bacterial small subunit ribosomal RNA", at positions 524 to 776 of the family's 1533-position model. The record is from RNAcentral.
UACAGAGGUCCCGAGCGUUGUUCGGAUUCAUUGGGCGUAAAGGGUGCGUAGGCGGCUGGGUAAGUUUGAUGUGAAAUCCUGGGGCUUAACCCUGGAACUGCAUUGAAUACUGCUCGGCUAGAGUACUGGAGAGGAAACUGGAAUUCACGGUGUAGCAGUGAAAUGCGUAGAGAUCGUGAGGAAGACCAGUGGCGAAGGCGAGUUUCUGGACAGUUACUGACGCUGAGGCACGAAGGCUAGGGGAGCAAACGGG